This 71-nucleotide transfer RNA is filed under the name Bos taurus (domestic cattle). It matches the Rfam family "tRNA". From Rfam's summary of the family: Transfer RNA (tRNA) molecules are approximately 80 nucleotides in length. Their secondary structure includes four short double-helical elements and three loops (D, anti-codon, and T loops). Further hydrogen bonds mediate the characteristic L-shaped molecular structure. tRNAs have two regions of fundamental functional importance: the anti-codon, which is responsible for specific mRNA codon recognition, and the 3' end, to which the tRNAs corresponding amino acid is attached (by aminoacyl-tRNA synthetases). tRNAs cope with the degeneracy of the genetic code in two manners: having more than one tRNA (with a specific anti-codon) for a particular amino acid; and 'wobble' base-pairing, i.e. permitting non-standard base-pairing at the 3rd anti-codon position. The record is from Rfam by way of RNAcentral. RNAcentral also lists the same sequence under 4 other names. Lineage: Eukaryota; Metazoa; Chordata; Mammalia; Artiodactyla; Bovidae.
UCCCGGGUGGCUCAGACGUAAAGAACCUGCCUGCAAUGCAGGAGACCCAGGUUCCAUCCCUGGGUCAGGAA